AAAACAUUUAAACCAGUGAAGGGGAAAAAAGAUUGUAUCAUCAAAAUAAGAUUCUAGCCACAUCCCGAUAACAAUAUUUAGCUCUCUUAACAAUAUUUGAAUGACAUUGGUGAGCCUUGAACUUCCGGCCAAAAAAUAACAUCAGGUUACCUUAAAUCCCAAUGCCUCAUGUAAAUAAUCACUUCCCUCAAAACAUCUAUUACAGUUGAACUUGAAAUUUUAGUAUGUAUUUAAUCUUAAAGAGUCAUAGCUAUCAAGGUUGAGUCAUAAUCACCACUAAAUCCCAAGGAUACAGUGGGAAACUCUCAGCCUUUCUACUUGAUUGAAGAUACAUGAAUAAUUACUGUUCAUAUAAUAUAAUUCAGUGUUUGAAGAUACAUGAAAAAUGAAUAUAUUUUUACUUUCAAAAAAUAGGCAGGGAAAAGAAGGGCUGGAAAGGGGGAGAGA
Molecule: unclassified non-coding RNA, 447 nt
Filed under: Hevea brasiliensis (rubber tree)
Lineage: Eukaryota; Viridiplantae; Streptophyta; Magnoliopsida; Malpighiales; Euphorbiaceae
Source: RNAcentral